GCACGGAGUUAGCCGAUCCUUAUUCUCACAGUACCGUCAAGACGCUACACGUAGCGUUGUUUCUUCCUGUGCAAAAGCAGUUUACAAUCCAUAGGACCGUCAUCCUGCACGCGGCAUGGCUGGAUCAGGCUUGCGCCCAUUGUCCAAUAUUCCUCA
Molecule: ribosomal RNA, 156 nt
Filed under: uncultured bacterium
Lineage: Bacteria
Description: partial 16S ribosomal RNA
Source: RNAcentral